Molecule: long non-coding RNA, 229 nt
Filed under: Solanum tuberosum (potato)
Lineage: Eukaryota; Viridiplantae; Streptophyta; Magnoliopsida; Solanales; Solanaceae
Description: long non-coding RNA (STUB_LNC007796)
Source: RNAcentral
ACACCCUCUGAGUCUUUGGAAUUUUUGUUGUACACUGUGUGUGCGAAUACGCUCCACGGGACUUCUGUCUAGGAUGACCCAGUGUGCAGUUACGCUCAUGAUUCUAGAUUUGUCACACGCGUUAGGUAGGGUUGGACCACAAAUUAAGCCAGAAUAGCUCUGCUACCAGUACGCUAACCCUCCCCGGCUCGAGUUGUCCACUCGAGUAAAGCAAGUCUAGACACCUUCC